GAUGAACGCUGGCGGCGUGCCUAAUACAUGCAAGUCGAGCGAACGGACGAGAAGCUUGCUUCUCUGAUGUUAGCGGCGGACGGGUGAGUAACACGUGGAUAACCUACCUAUAAGACUGGGAUAACUUCGGGAAACCGGAGCUAAUACCGGAUAAUAUUUUGCACCGCAUGGUUCAAAAGUGAAAGACGGUCUUGCUGUCACUUAUAGAUGGAUCCGCGCUGCAUUAGCUAGUUGGUAAGGUAACGGCUUACCAAGGCAACGAUGCAUAGCCGACCUGAGAGGGUGAUCGGCCACACGGGAACUGGGACACGGUCCAGACUCCUACGGGAGGCAGCAGUAGGGAAUCUUCCGCAAUGGGCGAAAGCCUGACGGAGCAACGCCGCGUGAGUGAUGAAGGUCUUCGGAUCGUAAAACUCUGUUAUUAGGGAAGAACAUAUGUGUAAGUAACUGUGCACAUCUUGACGGUACCUAAUCAGAAAGCCACGGCUAACUACGUG
This 497-nucleotide ribosomal RNA is filed under the name uncultured bacterium. Its description in RNAcentral is "partial 16S ribosomal RNA". It matches the Rfam family "Bacterial small subunit ribosomal RNA", at positions 28 to 507 of the family's 1533-position model. The record is from RNAcentral.